AACGCACCUUGCGCCCUUUGGUAUUCCGAAGGGCAUGCCUGUUUGAGUGUCAUUAAAUUCUCAACCUUGAACCAGUUUUGCGACUGGGUCAAGGCUUGGAUGUGAGGGCUUUGCUGGCUUCCUUCAGUGGAUGGUCUGCUCCCUUUAAAUGCAUUAGUGGGAUCCUUUGUGGACGGUCACUUGGUGUGAUAAUUAUCUACGCCGCGUUGACUGUGAAGCAAAACUUAUGGGACCCUGCUUAUAACCGUCCUUCGGGACAAUUUAUUGACCAUUUGACCUCAAAUCAGGUAGGACUACCCGCUGAACUUAA
RNAcentral lists this unclassified non-coding RNA (310 nucleotides) under Mycena sp. Its description in RNAcentral is "partial contains 5.8S ribosomal RNA, internal transcribed spacer 2, and large subunit ribosomal RNA". The stretch from base 1 to 52 matches the Rfam family "5.8S ribosomal RNA", at positions 103 to 154 of the family's 154-position model. RNAcentral also lists the same sequence under 3 other names. Lineage: Eukaryota; Fungi; Basidiomycota; Agaricomycetes; Agaricales; Mycenaceae. The record is from RNAcentral.